This 300-nucleotide ribosomal RNA is filed under the name Staphylococcus aureus. Its description in RNAcentral is "partial 23S ribosomal RNA". It matches the Rfam family "Bacterial large subunit ribosomal RNA", at positions 607 to 907 of the family's 2925-position model. Lineage: Bacteria; Bacillati; Bacillota; Bacilli; Caryophanales; Staphylococcaceae. The record is from RNAcentral.
UUUGUAGAAUGAACCGGCGAGUUACGAUUUGAUGCAAGGUUAAGCAGUAAAUGUGGAGCCGUAGCGAAAGCGAGUCUGAAUAGGGCGUUUAGUAUUUGGUCGUAGACCCGAAACCAGGUGAUCUACCCUUGGUCAGGUUGAAGUUCAGGUAACACUGAAUGGAGGACCGAACCGACUUACGUUGAAAAGUGAGCGGAUGAACUGAGGGUAGCGGAGAAAUUCCAAUCGAACCUGGAGAUAGCUGGUUCUCUCCGAAAUAGCUUUAGGGCUAGCCUCAAGUGAUGAUUAUUGGAGGUAGAG